Molecule: ribosomal RNA, 404 nt
Filed under: Actinomycetes bacterium
Lineage: Bacteria; Bacillati; Actinomycetota; Actinomycetes
Description: Actinobacteria bacterium partial 16S ribosomal RNA
Rfam family: Bacterial small subunit ribosomal RNA
Source: RNAcentral
UGGGGAAUAUUGGACAAUGGGCGCAAGCCUGAUCCAGCCAUGCCGCGUGAGUGAUGAAGGCUCUAGGGUUGUAAAGCUCUUUCACCGGUGAAGAUAAUGACGGUAACCGGAGAAGAAGCCCCGGCUAACUUCGUGCCAGCAGCCGCGGUAAUACGAAGGGGGCUAGCGUUGUUCGGAUGUACUGGGCGUAAAGCGCACGUAGGCGGACUUUUAAGUCAGGGGUGAAAUCCCGGGGCUCAACCCCGGAACUGCCUUUGAUACUGGAAGUCUUGAGUAUGGUAGAGGUGAGUGGAAUUCCGAGUGUAGAGGUGAAAUUCGUAGAUAUUCGGAGGAACACAAGUGACGAAGGCGGCUCACUGGACCAUAACUGACGCUGAGGUGCGAAAGCGUGAGGAGCAAACAGG